GUGCCAGCAGCCGCGGUAAAACCAGCACCUCAAGUGGUCAGGAGGAUUAUUGGGCCUAAAGCAUCCGUAGCCUGCUCUGUAAGUUUCCGGUUAAAUUCAUUAGCUCAACUAAUGGCCUGCCGGAAAUACUGCAGAGCUAGGAAGUGGGAGAGGUAGACGGUACUCGGUAGGAAGGGGUAAAAUCCUUUGAUCUAUUGAUGACCACCUGUGGCGAAGGCGGUCUACCAGAACACGUUCGACGGUGAGGGAUGAAAGCUGGGGGAGCAAACCGGAUUAGAUACCCGGGUAGUCCCAGCUGUAAACGAUGCAGACUCGGUGAUGCCCUGGCUUGUGGCCAGUGCAGUGCCGCAGGGAAGCCGUUAAGUUUGCCGCCUGGGAAGUACGUACGCAAGUAUGAAACUUAAAGGAAUUGGCGGGGGAGCACCACAAGGGGUGAAGCCUGCGGUUCAAUUGGAGUCAACGCCAGAAAUCUUACCCGGAGAGACAGCAGAAUGAAGGUCAAGCUGAAGACUUUACCAGACAAGCUGAGAGGUGGUGCGUGGCCGUCGCCAGCUCGUGCCGUGAGAUGUCCUGUUAAGUCAGGUAACGAGCGAGAUCCCUGCCUCUAGUUGCCACCAUUACUCUCAGGAGUAGUGGGGCGAAUUAGCGGGACCGCCACAGUUAAUGUGGAGGAAGGAAGGGGCCACGGCAGGUCAGUAUGCCCCGAAACUCUGGGGCCACACGCGGGCUGCAAUGGUAGUGACAAUGAGUUCCGAAACCGAAAGGUGGAGGUAAUCUUCAAACGCUACCACAGUUAUGAUUGAGGGCUGCAACUCGCCCUCAUGAAUAUGGAAUCCCUAGUAACUGCGUGUCAUUAUCGCGCGGUGAAUACGUCCCUGCUCCUUGCACACACUGCCCGUC
Molecule: ribosomal RNA, 900 nt
Filed under: uncultured archaeon
Lineage: Archaea
Description: bacterial SSU rRNA
Rfam family: Archaeal small subunit ribosomal RNA
Source: RNAcentral